Molecule: ribosomal RNA, 488 nt
Filed under: uncultured bacterium
Lineage: Bacteria
Description: partial 16S ribosomal RNA
Rfam family: Bacterial small subunit ribosomal RNA
Source: RNAcentral
GACGAACGCUGGCGGCGUGCUUAACACAUGCAAGUCGAACGCUGAAGCCCCAGCUUGCUGGGGUGGAUGAGUGGCGAACGGGUGAGUAACACGUGAGUAACCUGCCCAUCACUCUGGGAUAAGCGCUGGAAACGGCGUCUAAUACUGGAUACGAGCAGCGACCGCAUGGUCAGCUGCUGGAAAGACUGGUUCGGUGAUGGAUGGACUCGCGGCCUAUCAGCUUGUUGGUGAGGUAAUGGCUCACCAAGGCGACGACGGGUAGCCGGCCUGAGAGGGUGACCGGCCACACUGGGACUGAGACACGGCCCAGACUCCUACGGGAGGCAGCAGUGGGGAAUAUUGCACAAUGGGCGCAAGCCUGAUGCAGCAACGCCGCGUGAGGGAUGACGGCCUUCGGGUUGUAAACCUCUUUUAGUAGGGAAGAAGCCUUCGGGUGACGGUACCUGCAGAAAAAGCACCGGCUAACUACGUGCCAGCCGCCGCGGUAA